This 325-nucleotide ribosomal RNA is filed under the name uncultured eukaryote. RNAcentral describes it as "partial 18S ribosomal RNA". It matches the Rfam family "Eukaryotic small subunit ribosomal RNA", at positions 1470 to 1796 of the family's 1831-position model. The record is from RNAcentral.
CCCUUAGAUGUUCUGGGCCGCACGCGCGCUACACUGAUGCAUUCAACGAGCCUAUCCUUGACCGACAGGUCCGGGUAAUCUUUGAAUCUGCAUCGUGACGGGGAUAGAUUAUUGCAAUUAUUAAUCUUCAACGAGGAAUGCCUAGUAGGCGCAAGUCAUCAGCUUGCGUCGAUUACGUCCCUGCCCUUUGUACACACCGCCCGUCGCUCCUACCGAUUGGGUGUGCCGGUGAAAUGUUCGGAUCGGCCGUUUGUCGCGGUUUCCGCGGCUCGUGGCUGAGAAGUUCAUUAAACCCUCCCACCUAGAGGAAGGAGAAGUCGUAACA